RNAcentral lists this long non-coding RNA (456 nucleotides) under Ananas comosus (pineapple). Its description in RNAcentral is "long non-coding RNA (ACOM_LNC036411)". The record is from RNAcentral. Lineage: Eukaryota; Viridiplantae; Streptophyta; Magnoliopsida; Poales; Bromeliaceae.
UUCUUUCUGCAGAUUCUCGAAGACGUCAAGACUCAUUGUGUUUAAGUCAUAGAGUUUGUUUAGGAGUUGCGAAAUUAUAAUUUUGUAUUUUCUUUGAAUUUUUCACGCGAGAAGUUCAUUGUUUUGGUGAUGGCAAUGAAUUUCAUUUUUUUUGUUUGGAGAGUUGAGCGUUGUGAGUAUUUUGAUAUAUUUUUUAGUUUUGUCACGAAAUUGCCAAAGGGGGAGAUUGUUACGGAUUUUAUGUUGGCAUAUUUCGUGAUGUUAGUCAGAGUCUUGAAUGUUUGAAGAAGAAGAGAUGAAAAUCGAAGACUCGAAGACUCAAAACAUGAAUGCAUAAUGCUUGGUAAGUUUAAAUACCAUUGAUGAUGAUUUAUAAAUGUUUAAAAGUGUUUGGAAGACUUAGGAUGGUUUUUAAAAUAUGAAUCUGGACAAACUGAGUUUUUCAAUGUGCUAGGA